RNAcentral lists this ribosomal RNA (250 nucleotides) under Escherichia coli. RNAcentral's name for it is "partial 16S ribosomal RNA". It matches the Rfam family "Bacterial small subunit ribosomal RNA", at positions 77 to 327 of the family's 1533-position model. Lineage: Bacteria; Pseudomonadati; Pseudomonadota; Gammaproteobacteria; Enterobacterales; Enterobacteriaceae. The record is from RNAcentral.
AGCUUGCUGUUUCGCUGACGAGUGGCGGACGGGUGAGUAAUGUCUGGGAAACUGCCUGAUGGAGGGGGAUAACUACUGGAAACGGUAGCUAAUACCGCAUAACGUCGCAAGACCAAAGAGGGGGACCCUCGGGCCUCUUGCCAUCGGAUGUGCCCAGAUGGGAUUAGCUUGUUGGUGGGGUAACGGCUCACCAAGGCGACGAUCCCUAGCUGGUCUGAGAGGAUGACCAGCCACACUGGAACUGAGACAC